RNAcentral lists this ribosomal RNA (254 nucleotides) under uncultured bacterium. Its description in RNAcentral is "partial 16S ribosomal RNA". It matches the Rfam family "Bacterial small subunit ribosomal RNA", at positions 524 to 776 of the family's 1533-position model. The record is from RNAcentral.
UACGAAGGAUCCAAGCGUUAUCCGGAUUUAUUGGGUUUAAAGGGUGCGUAGGCGGGCUAUUAAGUCAGUGGUGAAAGCCCCAAGCUUAACUUGGGAACUGCCAUUGAUACUGAUGGUCUUGAGUACACUUGAGGUGGGCGGAAUGUGUCAUGUAGCGGUGAAAUGCUUUAGAUAUGACACAGAACACCGAUUGCGAAGGCAGCUUACUUCACGAUUAUUGACACUGAGGCACGAAAGCGUGGGGAGCAAACAGG